UCAGCCCCAGGCCCAGCUAGCCCCCGCGAUUUUUUUCUUUCUCGCGCACGAGGACGAGGAGCAGAGUAGGACGUGCCGCCGAAGCGGGGCACAGCGUGUGCCCCGUGGUUGCGUGUGACGACGGAUUUGACCGCCAUCGGCGACAAAGUCUCAACUAUAGAAAACCCAAAACAGAUGGUAGCUCGUCGUUUUCCUGAACUUGUCUCGGUCGUCGGCGCUCGUUCGCGAUGGCAUUUGGCACGUAGGUGCUGACGCGCGUCCGAGAACAUGUAACUCGCUGGAUUGGGCGUGUGGGGACAUUAUACUUUCGCUCCGUCGGUGGUCCAUGCUGUUUUUGCUGUGUAGUGCAAGUAGCAAAAAUGCAACUUCUCUGCGGAUGCAAUUGAGCUGAGCUCUCGGUUCGGUCGGCAAUGUCCGUCUAGUUAGACGAAAGUCACGGAAACAUUGGAGCUUCCGAGUUCUAAUUUCAGGGAAGCAUCAAUUUAACAGAAAAUCGGCGUAUGGCGCUGAAUUGCACGCCUCGUGCGAGGCUGUACCCUGUUGGGUAGUGUUUUGUGGAAGCUCCAAGACAAUUUAAUUAACCCUUAAUUAAUUUCAUUUACAUCAUUUUUUUAAAUUAGUUUUGUUGCCUCACAGGAAAUUACCACUCCCUCCGAUUUAUAA
RNAcentral lists this long non-coding RNA (663 nucleotides) under Brachypodium distachyon (stiff brome). Its description in RNAcentral is "long non-coding RNA (BDIS_LNC003932)". The record is from RNAcentral. Lineage: Eukaryota; Viridiplantae; Streptophyta; Magnoliopsida; Poales; Poaceae.